RNAcentral lists this ribosomal RNA (500 nucleotides) under uncultured bacterium. Its description in RNAcentral is "partial 16S ribosomal RNA". It matches the Rfam family "Bacterial small subunit ribosomal RNA", at positions 30 to 523 of the family's 1533-position model. The record is from RNAcentral.
AUUGAACGCUGGCGGCAUGCCUUACACAUGCAAGUCGAACGGCAGCACGGGAGCGAUCCUGGUGGCGAGUGGCGAACGGGUGAGUAAUGCCUAGGAAUCUGCCUGUUAGUGGGGGAUAACGCGGGGAAACUCGCGCUAAUACCGCAUACGUCCUACGGGAGAAAGCGGGGGCUCUUCGGACCUCGCGCUAACAGAUGAGCCUAGGUCGGAUUAGCUAGUUGGUGGGGUAAUGGCCCACCAAGGCGACGAUCCGUAACUGGUCUGAGAGGAUGAUCAGUCACACUGGAACUGAGACACGGUCCAGACUCCUACGGGAGGCAGCAGUGGGGAAUAUUGGACAAUGGGCGAAAGCCUGAUCCAGCCAUGCCGCGUGUGUGAAGAAGGUCUUCGGAUUGUAAAGCACUUUAAGUCGGGAGGAAGGGCUGUAGGCUAAUACCUUGCAGUUUUGACGUUACCGACAGAAUAAGCACCGGCUAACUUCGUGCCAGCCGCCGCAGUAA